ACCGGUCCAGACUCCUACGGGAGGCAGCAGUGGGGAAUAUUGCACAAUGGGCGAAAGCCUGAUGCAGCUAUACCGCGUGUAUGAAGAAGGCCUUAGGGUUGUAAAGUACUUUCGUUGGGGAGGAAAAAUAAAUAGAUAAUACCUGUUUAUCGUGACGUUACCCAAAAAAGAAGCACCGGCUAACUCCGUGCCAGCAGCCGCGGUAAUACGGAGGGUGCAAGCGUUAAUCAGAAUUACUGGGCGUAAAGAGCUCGUAGGCGGUUUUUUAAGUCAGAUGUGAAAUCCCUGGGCUUAACCUAGGAACUGCAUUUGAAACUAAAAGACUAGAGUAUCGUAGAGGGAGGUAGAAUUCUAGGUGUAGCGGUGAAAUGCGUAGAUAUCUGGAGGAAUACCUGUGGCGAAAGCGGCCUCCUAAAUGAAUACUGACGCUGAGGUGCGAAAGCAUGGGGAGCAAACAGGAUUAGAUACCCUGGUAGUCCAUGCCGUAAACGAUGUCGACUUGGAGGUUGUUUCCUUGAGAAGUGACUUCCGAAGCUAACGCGUUAAGUCGACCGCCUGGGGAGUACGGUCGCAAGGCUAAAACUCAAAUGAAUUGACGGGGGCCCGCACAAGCGGUGGAGCAUGUGGUUUAAUUCGAUGCAACGCGAAAAACCUUACCUGGUCUUGACAUCCACAGAAUUUUUCAGAGAUGAAAAAGUGCCUUAGGGAACUGUGAGACAGGUGCUGCAUGGCUGUCGUCAGCUCGUGUUGUGAAAUGUUGGGUUAAGUCCCGCAACGAGCGCAACCCUUAUCCUCUGUUGCCAUUGGUUCGGCCAGGAACUCAGAGGAGACUGCCGGUUAUAAACCGGAGGAAGGCGGGGACGACGUCAAGUCAUCAUGGCCCUUACGACCAGGGCUACACACGUGCUACAAUGGUGUAUACAAAGAGAAGCAACUCUGUAAAGACAAGCAAACCUCAUAAAGUACAUCGUAGUCCGGACUGGAGUCUGCAACUCGACUCCACGAAUCCGGGAAA
Molecule: ribosomal RNA, 1015 nt
Filed under: Buchnera aphidicola (Prociphilus erigeronensis)
Lineage: Bacteria; Pseudomonadati; Pseudomonadota; Gammaproteobacteria; Enterobacterales; Erwiniaceae
Description: bacterial SSU rRNA
Rfam family: Bacterial small subunit ribosomal RNA
Source: RNAcentral